CAGGGAGACACAACUGAUCGUGAUGUCUGAGCGCUGACUAAGUGAAAGCUUAGGAAGCACAUUUGUCUCAGGCCACGGUCCUGUCAUCUCGAAGGUCGAUCGGUACCUCAAGGUGAGCCAUCAAAGCCAAGGUAAAGCUGAAAGUUUCGAAAGAGACCGGAGGUGAUAUGGAGGAAAUUGUGAUGGACUCGUUUUCAGUUCCUAAACUUUGUCUAGGUCACCCCACAACGGGUUUCCAAGUCUUCUGUAUGUUUUGAACCUGCAAGGUUUCAAAGCACGAGAAGAGGAGAGAGGUUCGUGUCAAAGUGAUAGAUCCUGGGCCAUUAGCUCAGGUGGUUAGAGCGCACCCCUGAUAAGGGUGAGGUCCCUGGUUCAAGUCCAGGAUGGCCCAUUCGUGUUUGGGGGUUUAGCUCAGUUGGUAGAGCGCCUGCUUUGCAAGCAGGAUGUCAGCGGUUCGAGUCCGCUAACCUCCAUCCAACGAGGUGAAGACCACCAGCAGGAAGCGGCAACAGGAUGCCUUUUGACCGGUGAGGUGACAAGACAUGUUCAGCUGAGGACUCCAGCCUCCUUUCAUUCCCAGUCGUUUGGAUCACGUCAAUCGUGAAGCCAGCAGCGGUCGUGGUUGAAAGGAAGCUGGACUCGCUGAUUUUGGUGCGAGCCAAAGAUCAGUGACUCUAGCAAAGAACCUUGACAACUGUAUAGGUAAGUCUGGAUAAAGAAAGCAUCUCAUAGAUGCCCAGGCGGACGUGAACCACAUUUGGUACUGCCAAAUGAGGGGAGCGGUCGACUGGGAGAUUCUUGAGUUUAGAGCCGAGAGCUGCCAGCGUCUUUUCGCUCCGCCGAGGAGGGAAGAGUUUGAUUCUGCCUUUCCAACCAUCAAAGCGCUAGAGAGAGCGGGAAACCGAACGAUCAAAGGGUGGAGAGAGGUGAAAGCGGAAGAAUGGGUCUCAACAACCCUGAACGUUGGGAGUGUUAAUU
RNAcentral lists this transfer RNA (978 nucleotides) under uncultured cyanobacterium. RNAcentral describes it as "partial contains 16S ribosomal RNA, 16S-23S ribosomal RNA intergenic spacer, and 23S ribosomal RNA". The stretch from base 401 to 473 matches the Rfam family "tRNA". The record is from RNAcentral. Lineage: Bacteria; Bacillati; Cyanobacteriota.